GGAGCUGUGGUGUAGAGGCCCAACAUGCCUGCCUGUCACGCAGGAGAUCGCGAGUUCGAAUCUCGUCAGCUCCGCCA
RNAcentral lists this transfer RNA (77 nucleotides) under Firmicutes bacterium HGW-Firmicutes-14. Its description in RNAcentral is "tRNA-Asp". It matches the Rfam family "tRNA". Rfam says of the family: Transfer RNA (tRNA) molecules are approximately 80 nucleotides in length. Their secondary structure includes four short double-helical elements and three loops (D, anti-codon, and T loops). Further hydrogen bonds mediate the characteristic L-shaped molecular structure. tRNAs have two regions of fundamental functional importance: the anti-codon, which is responsible for specific mRNA codon recognition, and the 3' end, to which the tRNAs corresponding amino acid is attached (by aminoacyl-tRNA synthetases). tRNAs cope with the degeneracy of the genetic code in two manners: having more than one tRNA (with a specific anti-codon) for a particular amino acid; and 'wobble' base-pairing, i.e. permitting non-standard base-pairing at the 3rd anti-codon position. Lineage: Bacteria; Bacillati; Bacillota. The record is from RNAcentral.